UGAUCGAGGCCUGCAAUCGCAGGACAUCCGUAGCUUCUGACGCGACCGAGUAGCGAGAACCUAGCCGUCAAGGAAGUGGAUCGAUCAUGAGGAUCAAUCAUCAGGAGUGAGACGAAACUUUGCUCGAGCGAACCACGCAGCGUACGUCUGCGUGAUCGCCCGGCGCUCGCAAUCCUCCCUCGGAAAAUGAUACCGAACUUCCUUCAAAAAACCGCGAAAUCGACGAUGAAAGAAAAACACGAAAGCAACCAAUGGCAAUCCAAAUAAUUUCGGAAAUAUCUACGACGACGAACCGCGCUGGUAGGAAAGAAUCGCGAGAGCUGCACGGGCCGCCAUCACGAUUCGAAAACGAUGAAAAAUCAUGGCAACUGCAUGGGUCAUCGUGAAAAUGAA
This 393-nucleotide unclassified non-coding RNA is filed under the name Bombus terrestris (buff-tailed bumblebee). Its description in RNAcentral is "misc RNA ENSBTSG00005036075.1". Lineage: Eukaryota; Metazoa; Arthropoda; Insecta; Hymenoptera; Apidae. The record is from RNAcentral.